Arachis ipaensis is the source of this 919-nucleotide non-coding RNA. The record is from RefSeq and is a predicted model, not a curated record. Lineage: Eukaryota; Viridiplantae; Streptophyta; Magnoliopsida; Fabales; Fabaceae.
UUAAUUAUUCAAGUUUUAAAAAGUACAAAUUGAUUUGAAUUGGAGAAAUCAGAGGAAAAAAAUAAAAAGGAAGUGCUGGAAUGUAAUCGAGCUUGUGUAUUCCUAAUAGAACAAGUAAUUGUGGAUGGAAAGGGAAGCUUCUUCAUCAAUCAUCAUAUACAACAAAGCUUUUCACUCAAAAUCCAUUCACAAUAGACAAUAAUAACUGAACCAAAAGGUUUAGUGUGACUACUUAAGGGGAAAAAAAUUAUAAGUAUGUAAGAAGAGAACAAAAAAAAAUUCCCCAACCCAAACUCGUAGUUACUACAACAUCAUCCAAGUCUGUCACAUCCUCAAUCUAAUUUCAGAUACUAUAUAAUGUCUCAUAUCAAAUUUCAGAACCAGCUCACUAAUCAAAAACCAUUACCAAAAGUAAAAUUUUUCAUGGUCAUUGAAGCGAAGUUUUGGGGAUUACUGGGUUAAGCAUAGUUGUCAGAACCCACCCAUCGAAUCGGUCAGGCUGCUGGUUAAUGGGUCUCAGGUUCACUGGUUGAUCAGGUUGACCCGAUCUUAUUUAAAUAAAAAUAUAAAAUAGUCAAAAACUUAAAAUUAAAAUUUAAAAUUUAAAUACAUGUCUUGGUGUAUUUGAUUAAACCAUCUUAAAAGCAAAAAAAAAAAAAUCAUCUAACCAUAGUAUCACAUUAGUACAUCACCUAAUUGAUUGACAGAGCCUAUCAUCUAACCAUAGCAUCAGCAGAUUCAAAUCAUCUAAACAGCAAGCAUCAAUCAGAGAAAAACCAGCAAUCACAAAAAAAACAGCAACAGUAAGCAUCAAUCAACCUAUACAGCAAGCAUCAACCAACGCUAAACAGCAACAAUAACAAAAAACAGCAACAAUCAGAAAAAAAACGAGCAACAAUUAGAGGGAAAAAAACAGCAA